This 490-nucleotide ribosomal RNA is filed under the name uncultured bacterium. RNAcentral's name for it is "partial 16S ribosomal RNA". It matches the Rfam family "Bacterial small subunit ribosomal RNA", at positions 28 to 507 of the family's 1533-position model. The record is from RNAcentral.
GAUGAACGCUAGCUACAGGCUUAACACAUGCAAGUCGCAGGGUAACAUGAGGAAAGCUUGCUUUCCUUGAUGACGACUGGCGCACGGGUGAGUAACGCGUAUCCAACCUUCCCAUAACUACGGGAUAACCCGUUGAAAGACUGCCUAAUACCGUAUGAUAUCGUUUGCUGACAUCAAAUAACGAUUAAAGGUUUAGCGGUUAUGGAUGGGGAUGCGUCUGAUUAGCUUGUUGGCGGGGUAACGGCCCACCAAGGCGACGAUCAGUAGGGGUUCUGAGAGGAAGGUCCCCCACAUUGGAACUGAGACACGGUCCAAACUCCUACGGGAGGCAGCAGUGAGGAAUAUUGGUCAAUGGGCGAGAGCCUGAACCAGCCAAGUAGCGUGCAGGACGACGGCCCUAUGGGUUGUAAACUGCUUUUAUGUGGGGAUAAAGUGCGUGACGUGUCAUGCAUUGCAGGUACCACAUGAAUAAGAACCGGCUAAUUCCGUG